CUUAUAGUAUCCUACAACUAGGCAUACUCAUGCCUAGGUGAGAUGAAAAGGAUCCACUUAUUGGCAUAUGGCAUUAUCCUGUUCAGGUAUUUAAUAUGGGGAGGUGGAACACGAGCGUACGCGUUAGGACCUGAAAGAUGGUGAACUAUGACUGGGCAGGGCAAAGCCAGAGGAAACUCUGGUGGAAGUCUGUAGCAGUCCUGACCUGCAAAUCGGUGGUCCAACCUGGGUAUAGGGGCAAAAGACUAAUCGAACCAUCUAAUAGCUGG
This 269-nucleotide non-coding RNA is filed under the name Mus musculus (house mouse). RNAcentral's name for it is "Eukaryotic large subunit ribosomal RNA". It matches the Rfam family "Eukaryotic large subunit ribosomal RNA", at positions 692 to 954 of the family's 3401-position model. Lineage: Eukaryota; Metazoa; Chordata; Mammalia; Rodentia; Muridae. The record is from Rfam by way of RNAcentral.